UACGUAGGGGGCAAGCGUUAUCCGGAUUUACUGGGUGUAAAGGGAGCGCAGACGGCUAGCCAAGUCUGAAGUGAAACCCCGCAGCUCAACUGCGGGCUUGCUUUGGAAACUGGUUGGCUAGAGUGUCGGAGGGGUAAGCGGAAUUCCUAGUGUAGCGGUGAAAUGCGUAGAUAUUAGGAGGAACACCGGUGGCGAAGGCGGCUUACUGGACGACAACUGACGUUGAGGCUCGAAAGCGUGGGGAG
RNAcentral lists this ribosomal RNA (245 nucleotides) under uncultured Lachnoanaerobaculum sp. Its description in RNAcentral is "partial 16S ribosomal RNA". It matches the Rfam family "Bacterial small subunit ribosomal RNA", at positions 524 to 768 of the family's 1533-position model. The record is from RNAcentral. Lineage: Bacteria; Bacillati; Bacillota; Clostridia; Lachnospirales; Lachnospiraceae.